This 305-nucleotide ribosomal RNA is filed under the name uncultured bacterium. RNAcentral describes it as "bacterial SSU rRNA". It matches the Rfam family "Bacterial small subunit ribosomal RNA", at positions 334 to 656 of the family's 1533-position model. The record is from RNAcentral.
UUUCCCUACGGGGCGCAGCAGUGGGGAAUAUUGCACAAUGGGGGAAACCCUGAUGCAGCGACGCCGCGUGAGUGAAGAAGUAUUUCGGUAUGUAAAGCUCUAUCAGCAGGGAAGAAAAUGACGGUACCUGAGUAAGAAGCCCCGGCUAACUACGUGCCAGCAGCCGCGGUAAUACGUAGGGGGCGAGCGUUAUCCGGAUUUACUGGGUGUAAAGGGAGCGUAGACGGCAAUGCAAGUCUGAAGUGAAACCCCAAGGCUCAACCAUGGGCAUGCUUCGGAAACUGUGUAGCUAGAGUGCAGGAGAG